RNAcentral lists this transfer RNA (65 nucleotides) under Dipodomys ordii (Ord's kangaroo rat). It matches the Rfam family "tRNA". From Rfam's summary of the family: Transfer RNA (tRNA) molecules are approximately 80 nucleotides in length. Their secondary structure includes four short double-helical elements and three loops (D, anti-codon, and T loops). Lineage: Eukaryota; Metazoa; Chordata; Mammalia; Rodentia; Heteromyidae. The record is from Rfam by way of RNAcentral.
GGUGGCUCAGUGGAAGAGUGCUUGCCUUGCAUGCAUGAGGCUCUGGGUUCAAUUCCUCAGCACCA